RNAcentral lists this ribosomal RNA (301 nucleotides) under uncultured bacterium. RNAcentral describes it as "partial 16S ribosomal RNA". It matches the Rfam family "Bacterial small subunit ribosomal RNA", at positions 509 to 809 of the family's 1533-position model. The record is from RNAcentral.
CAGUAGCCGCGGUAAUACGGAGGGUGCAAGCGUUAAUCGGAAUUACUGGGCGUAAAGCGUGCGUAGGCGGCUUCUUAAGUCGGAUGUGAAAUCCCUGAGCUUAACUUAGGAAUUGCAUUCGAUACUGGGAAGCUAGAGUAUGGGAGAGGAUGGUAGAAUUCCAGGUGUAGCGGUGAAAUGCGUAGAGAUCUGGAGGAAUACCGAUGGCGAAGGCAGCCAUCUGGCCUAAUACUGACGCUGAGGUACGAAAGCAUGGGGAGCAAACAGGAUUAGAUACCCCCGUAGUCCCUGUCUCUUAUAA